GUCUACAAUUGCAAUAUCACAAAAAGUACAAAUUAUUAGAAGUAAAUAAAUGUAAAUGAUAUGGUACAAUACUGAAAUCUGAACACAACAGAAAUAUAUCAUCACAGUUAGCAGAAAUAUGGUACACCUACAAAAAUAAAGUAAUGUAUUUACUCAGAAUUCAUUGAGUACCAAUUUUUGGGAGUUUGGUAUUUAUUACCCUCAGAUUUUAAUUUGUACUUGAUAUCAAAUUCAUCCUUUAAAAAAAAGUAAUAAGAAUAAUUUUAUUUUAUUUAAGAAUUGAUUAACAAAAUCUCUUAAUCUCUACACCAAUUAAGUAUUGAACAUUCAGUGAGAUACAUUUAGGCCAGUCGACUUUGAUUUUAUUUCUUUGAAUUUUAGGAAUAUAGAUGGGAAAGUUUCGUGAAUUGCUGGGAAAUGCCAAUGGCAUCAUAAAAUUCAAGGUUUUCAGAUUUAUAAUCUGCUAAUUAGCAUUUGAUCUAGACCUUAUAAUCAAAAAGGCAACAACUUAAUUUCUAGUCAAAUAAUGAAACUAGAAAAGUUUUGUCUGUCAAAAGCUAUGAAAAUGCUUUUUUUUUUGAGUUUUUUUCUGCCCAAAAAUUUAAAUCAAUUCAAGAACGAGAAGAACUUAUAUUCAAUCUGCAAUAGCUUUACCCAGGACAUUUCAGGCUUUAGAAUUUCUUGUUCUUUGUAACUCUAAUCAACUUUUAUAUGAUAUACAUUCUAAUAUGAUUGUAAUAUUUUGUUCAAUCUAUUAAUAAGUCUCAAAUAAAUAUCAGAAAUAUAUAAUAUCUUGAUAUCUACAUAAUAAACUUUCAUACAAUACAUACUUACUAAAAUUAACAUACAGAAAACUCAUUUAGACAAAGAUCUCUAUUUAUUUUUCGGUCUAUAAACUUUUACAAUAUAAAUAAUGUGUGUUUCACUAUAAAUUUUCUAGUACCUAUUGAGAUUAAUUUUAAUGAAUUGUUGGGUCUUUUUUAAUUCCAGGUGUUGGAACAAAUACUACUGAAGUAAAACUGUAAAUUCAAGCUAAAGCCUUUCCAAGGAAAUAAAUAGACAAAAAAAUACUAUCAGAGUAAAAUUCACUUUCAUUCAAUCAUUCAUCGUAAUUUUUUGGCACAAGUAAUAUUCUAAUAACAUAAACUGGCCAGAUUCUAAGAAGUAAAGAUUAUUUUAUUACUAUUUUUUUAAUCUGUGGAGGAACCAAUGGUCCUCUCCUUCCUGAUUAAUUCCUAAUUAAAAAGUUAAAUUUCUAAAUUUAUUUACAUCUUUGGCAAACAUUUUAGGCAACAUUCUAAUGAAAAUGACAAAGUUCUCGUAAAAUUUAGGACUUGCAAGGAAAAUAAUAAAUUUGAUUGUAGUCUUUUCAUUUUUUAACCCCUCAAAUAAAUGAAAAAGUUAACAUAGAAAAGUCAGGAUAUUUCUGAUCCCCUAAAGAAAUUUGAAGAGUUCACUGAAUUAUGGUCGAAUUUUGAUGUCAAGUGAGCGCAAAAACUCAAAUACUAGUCAACAAUUGAGCUUAAAGCUUAAAUAGAACUUAAAAUCAUAUGACUUUUUCUGUCAAUGCCAGGCUACAUAUACAAGACAAAUAAAUCUAAAUAAAUACCCACAAAAAUCAUUCCUAGCAUGCAUGUCUUGUAUAAAACAUUCUGGAAUGAUUAUCAAGCAGUCUAAUUUGUUUACAAAUAUCUGAGCAAACUUCAGAAUAAAAAGUCAUUACACAAAUGGAAAAUAUUAUCACAAAUAUACUUAUCUUUAUAAAAUACAAAAUACAAUAAAUAUUAUAUUAAUACACCCAAUGAUUCACUGGAAAAAUAUUUUUCAAUCAAUUAAUACAGUGAAAACCUAUUUAAACCAAAAAGUCCUAAUUUAAGAGAUGGAAAAAUGACUUUUUUCUUCACAUUUUGAAUUCCCUGCUGAUGAAAAUUCUAAAUUUACUUUUUAAGUAUUUUGAUUAUGAUUGAUUGAAUCUUGGUGUUUAACACCACUUCCCAUACUCUCAGCUAUUCAAUAGCAGCCUGUUUUUUAUUGAUGGAGAGAGCUUUGGUAUCUAGAGGUAACCAUCAACAUUCUAGGCAAAUAGUCAAACACAUCAUGCCACGAGCAGGAUUUGAACUAACAAGCUCAGUGUAAACUGGCUAUUGAUCACUAGGGAUGAAAUUGUAAGAUCACUAUGCCCUUCUAACCAGCUAACAGUACUUUAUUUUAUUUCAAAAGAAAGAUCUAUGUUUCACAUAUUUUAGACAAUUUCUAUUCUUGUUAUUUUUCUACUCACAAAAAGUCAAGCAAAAUAGUUGUGAAAAAAUUGGUCAACAUUAUUUUAAAAAUUAUUUUUCAGUGACUCAGUUUUUUUGACAGGUUUCACUGUAUAUUUUGAGGAAUCAGAUAUUUAGUUUCUUUUUAGUAAAAAAACAUCAGCCAUUCAUAGAAUGAGUUAAUGAGAGAAGAAAUGGAUGCUCACUUUGUGCCAUUACAUUGUUUUAUUUCAGAUGUAUCUUAAUCUUGUUAAACUUAUUAUUCUCCAAAUUAGUACAACUAAUAUUUUACAUCUUUUUUCCCCCCAAGUAUUAGGAUUGGAAUAGCACACUUAAUUUUCACAUAUUUUACAUCUUUUUUCCCAAAGUAUUAGGAUUGGAAUAGCACACUUAAUUUUCACAUAUUUUACAUCUUUUUUCCCCCCAAGUAUUAGGAUUGGAAUAGCACACUUAAUUUUUACAUAUUUAAAUAUCCUAUGAUGAGAAUGAGUACAGUUAGUUGUACAAUUGAUUGAUAAGCCAUUUAACUGCAGAUAUUUAACAAUCUCUAAAGAAACUACAUUUACAAAUAAUAUCAUGCUAAUUAAGGAGGUAGACCUAGGUUAAGGGAUAUAACUCUUAAAAUCAUCAGUACGUUUGUGUCAGCCAUUUUCAUAAAUAUGUUCUAAGCUUCUUAGAUACAUAGAUUAUUUCCAAUCUGUUUCAGGUAAAUGCUUAAAAUUCAUUGACGAAGCUUGACUUUUACAAAUGCAUAACUGAUUUAAAGAGUUAUCUCCCUGAACCAAGGUCUACCCCCUUAAAUACCAGUCUUUCUUAGAAUCAGUUGUAACAAAAAUUUAGGGAUGUAUUUUCAAAAUUAUUUAUAAAAGUAAAACAAAUCAAAUCACUGAGUAAACACGCCCCUUUGAAAAAUUAUUUUCUUGAAAAUCAUCAUGAACU
This 3197-nucleotide long non-coding RNA is filed under the name Mytilus galloprovincialis (Mediterranean mussel). The record is from RNAcentral. Lineage: Eukaryota; Metazoa; Mollusca; Bivalvia; Mytilida; Mytilidae.